UACGGAGGGUGCAAACGUUGCUCGGAAUCAUUGGGCGUAAAGCGCACGUAGGCGGCCUGUUAAGUCGGAUGUGAAAGCCCCGGGCUCAACCCGGGAAGUGCAUUCGAAACUGGCGGGCUUGAAUAUGGAAGAGGGUCGCGGAAUUCCCGGUGUAGAGGUGGAAUUCGUAGAUAUCGGGAGGAACACCAGUGGCGAAGGCGGCGACCUGGGCCAAUAUUGACGCUGAGGCGCGAAAGCGUGGGGAGCAAACAGG
Molecule: ribosomal RNA, 253 nt
Filed under: uncultured bacterium
Lineage: Bacteria
Description: partial 16S ribosomal RNA
Rfam family: Bacterial small subunit ribosomal RNA
Source: RNAcentral